This 608-nucleotide ribosomal RNA is filed under the name uncultured cyanobacterium. RNAcentral describes it as "bacterial SSU rRNA". It matches the Rfam family "Bacterial small subunit ribosomal RNA", at positions 118 to 756 of the family's 1533-position model. The record is from RNAcentral. Lineage: Bacteria; Bacillati; Cyanobacteriota.
UGAGAAUCUGCCAAAAGGACUGGGACAACAGCUGGAAACGGCUGCUAAUACCGGAUAUGCCAGAAAGUGAAAUGGGUAAAACCGCCUUUUGAUGAGCUCGCGUCCGAUUAGCUAGUUGGUGGGGUAAAAGCCUACCAAGGCGACGAUCGGUAACUGGUCUGAGAGGAUGACCAGUCACACUGGGACUGAGACACGGCCCAGACUCCUACGGGAGGCAGCAGUGGGGAAUUUUCCGCAAUGGGCGAAAGCCUGACGGAGCAAUACCGCGUGAGGGAGGAAGGCUCUUGGGUUGUAAACCUCUUUUCUCAGGGAAGAACACAAUGACGGUACCUGAGGAAUCAGCAUCGGCUAACUCCGUGCCAGCAGCCGCGGUAAUACGGAGGAUGCAAGCGUUAUCCGGAAUGAUUGGGCGUAAAGCGUCCGCAGGUGGCUUUGCAAGUCUGCUGUCAAAGCUCAGGGCUUAACCCUGAAUCGGCGGUGGAAACUGAAAGGCUAGAGUGUGGUAGGGGCAGAGGGAAUUCCCAGUGUAGCGGUGAAAUGCGUAGAGAUUGGGAAGAACACCAGUGGCGAAAGCGCUCUGCUAGACCGCAACUGACACUCAUGGACGA